GGGAGCGGAAGGGAGCUGGUGUUCCUCUCGGACUUCAAAUCCGACGUCGGGUGCUAGAACCACCCUGGGUGGGUUCGAUUCCCACACGUUCCCGCCA
Molecule: transfer RNA, 97 nt
Filed under: Candidatus Sabulitectum silens
Lineage: Bacteria; Pseudomonadati; Candidatus Fermentibacterota
Also listed under: 3 other names
Rfam family: Selenocysteine transfer RNA
Source: RNAcentral